UACGAAGGGGGCUAGCGUUGCUCGGAAUCACUGGGCGUAAAGGGUGCGUAGGCGGGUCUUUAAGUCAGGGGUGAAAUCCUGGAGCUCAACUCCAGAACUGCCUUUGAUACUGAGAGUCUUGAGUUCGGGAGAGGUGAGUGGAACUGCGAGUGUAGAGGUGAAAUUCGUAGAUAUUCGCAAGAACACCAGUGGCGAAGGCGGCUCACUGGCCCGAUACUGACGCUGAGGUGCGAAAGCGUGGGGAGCAAACAGG
Molecule: ribosomal RNA, 253 nt
Filed under: uncultured bacterium
Lineage: Bacteria
Description: partial 16S ribosomal RNA
Rfam family: Bacterial small subunit ribosomal RNA
Source: RNAcentral